RNAcentral lists this ribosomal RNA (371 nucleotides) under uncultured organism. Its description in RNAcentral is "bacterial SSU rRNA". It matches the Rfam family "Bacterial small subunit ribosomal RNA", at positions 526 to 896 of the family's 1533-position model. The record is from RNAcentral.
CAGAGGGUGCGAGCGUUAAUCGGAAUUACUGGGCGUAAAGCGCGCGUAGGCGGCUUUGCAAGUCGAGUGUGAAAUCCCCGGGCUUAACCCGGGAACUGCAUUCGAGACUGCAUAGCUAGAGUAUGGGAGAGGGAAGUGGAAUUUCAGGUGUAGCGGUGAAAUGCGUAGAUAUCUGAAGGAACAUCAGUGGCGAAAGCGACUUCCUGGACCAAUACUGACGCUCAUGUGCGAAAGCGUGGGGAGCAAACAGGAUUAGAUACCCUGGUAGUCCACGCCAUAAACGAUGACAACUGGAUGUCGGGAGGGUCUGCCUCUCGGUGUCGUAGCUAACGCGUUAAGUUGUCCGCCUGGGGAGUACGGCCGCAAGGUUG